UAAAUUCUAUAAUUAAUUUUAAUUUCAUAAUUCAGUUAAUCAUCUAAUCUUUUAACUCACCUUGCGCUCCUUGGUAUUCCUUGGAGCAUGCCUGUUUGAGUAUCAUGAAAUCUUCAAAGUAAAUCUUUUGUUAACUCAAUUGGUUUCUACUUUGGUAUUGGAGGUCUUUGCAGCUUCACACCUGCUCCUCUUUGUUCAUUAGCUGGAUCUCAGUGUUAUGCUUGGUUCCACUCGGCGUGAUAAGUUAUCUAUCGCUGAGGACACUGUAAAAGGUGGCCAAGGUAAAUGCAGAUGAACCGCUUCUAAUAGUCCAUUGACUUGGACAAUAAUUUUAUGAUCUGAUCUCAAAUCAGGUAGGACUACCCGCUGAACUUAAGC
RNAcentral lists this unclassified non-coding RNA (378 nucleotides) under plant metagenome. RNAcentral's name for it is "partial contains 5.8S ribosomal RNA, internal transcribed spacer 2, and large subunit ribosomal RNA". The stretch from base 1 to 105 matches the Rfam family "5.8S ribosomal RNA", at positions 50 to 154 of the family's 154-position model. The record is from RNAcentral.